Molecule: ribosomal RNA, 406 nt
Filed under: uncultured bacterium
Lineage: Bacteria
Description: partial 16S ribosomal RNA
Rfam family: Bacterial small subunit ribosomal RNA
Source: RNAcentral
AUUGAACGCUGGCGGCAGGCCUAACACAUGCAAGUCGAACGAGUGGCGGACGGGUGAGUAAUGUCUGGGACACUGCCCGAUGGAGGGGGAUAACCACUGGAAACGGUAGCUAAUACCGCAUACCAUCGGAUGUGCCCAGAGGGGAUUAGCUAGUAGGUGGGGUAACGGCUCACCUAGGCGACGAUCCCUAGCUGGUCUGAGAGGAGUACCAGCCACACUGGAACUGAGACACGGCCCAGACUCCGACGGGAGGCAGCAGUGGGGAAUAUGGCACAAUGGGCGCAAGCCUGAUGCAGCCAUGCCGCGUGUAUGAAGAAGGCCUUCGGGUUGUAAAGUACUUUCAGCGAGGAGGCGUUACUCGCAGAAGAAGCACCGGCUAACUCCGUGCCAGCAGCCGCGGUAAUUC